AGGACGAACGCUGGCGGCGUGCUUAACACAUGCAAGUCGAGCGGAAAGGCCUUUCGGGGUACUCGAGCGGCGAACGGGUGAGUAACACGUGAGUAAGUCUGCCCAUCGCUUCAGGAUAGCCAUCGGAAACGGUGAUUAAUACUGGAUAUGACAUUCCUUGCA
Molecule: ribosomal RNA, 162 nt
Filed under: uncultured soil bacterium
Lineage: Bacteria
Description: partial 16S ribosomal RNA
Rfam family: Bacterial small subunit ribosomal RNA
Source: RNAcentral